AUAUAGAUACUGGCAUGAGGAAGGCAUCGGCCGAGUACCGAAAAAAGAGCCCGAUAUAGGGGGUCCAGUAACAGGAAUUGGGGGGGGAGCACAGGAUGGGCAAGACCGGUGCCAGCCGCCGCGGUAAUACCGGCAGUCCAAGUGAUGGCCGAUAUUAUUGGGCCUAAAGCGUCCGUAGCUUGCUGUGUAAGUCCAUUGGGAAAUCGACCAGCUCAACUGGUCGGCGUCCGGUGGAAACUACCCACCUUGGGGCCGAAAGACUCAACGGGUACUUCCGGGGUAGGAGUGAAAUCCUGUAAUCCUGGACGGACCACCAAUGGGGAAACCACGUUGAGAGACCGGACCCGACGGUGAGGGACAAAAGCCAGGGUCUCGAACCGGAUUAAAUACCCGGGUAGUCCUGGCUGUAAACAAUGCUCGCUAGGUAUGUCACGCGCCAUGAGCACGUGAUGUGCCGUAGUGAAAACAAUAAGCGAGCCGCCUGGGAAGUACGUCCGCAAGGAUGAAACUUAAAGGAAUUGGCGGGGGACCACAAC
Molecule: ribosomal RNA, 536 nt
Filed under: uncultured haloarchaeon
Lineage: Archaea; Methanobacteriati; Methanobacteriota; Halobacteria; Halobacteriales; Halobacteriaceae
Description: bacterial SSU rRNA
Rfam family: Archaeal small subunit ribosomal RNA
Source: RNAcentral